This 491-nucleotide ribosomal RNA is filed under the name uncultured bacterium. RNAcentral's name for it is "partial 16S ribosomal RNA". It matches the Rfam family "Bacterial small subunit ribosomal RNA", at positions 29 to 507 of the family's 1533-position model. The record is from RNAcentral.
AGUGAACGCUGGCGGUAGGCCUAACACAUGCAAGUCGAACGGCAGCACAGUAGAGCUUGCUCUUACGGGUGGCGAGUGGCGGACGGGUGAGGAAUACAUCGGAAUCUACUUUUUCGUGGGGGAUAACGUAGGGAAACUUACGCUAAUACCGCAUACGACCUACGGGUGAAAGCAGGGGAUCUUCGGACCUUGCGCGAUUGAAUGAGCCGAUGUCGGAUUAGCCAGUUGGCGGGGUAAAGGCCCACCAAGGCGACGAUCCGUAGCUGGUCUGAGAGGAUGAUCAGCCACACUGGAACUGAGACACGGUCCAGACUCCUACGGGAGGCAGCAGUGGGGAAUAUUGGACAAUGGGCGCAAGCCUGAUCCAGCCAUACCGCGUGGGUGAAGAAGGCCUUCGGGUUGUAAAGCCCUUUUGUUGGGAAAGAAAAGCAGCAGGUUAAUACCCCGCUGUUCUGACGGUACCCAAAGAAUAAGCACCGGCUAACUUCGUG